GUGUCUUGAUAUUAUCAUCUGCUGAGGGUGGAGCUGAGGGUGGAAGGGGAGUGAGCUGACGCUCGGAAGGUGUCUUGAGAUUAUCAUCGGCUGAUGGUGGAAGCGGAAUCCGCAGACGCUCAGCAGGUAUCUUGAUAUUAUCAUCUGCUGAGGGUGGAGCUGAGGGUGGAAGGGGAGUGAGCUGACGCUCGGAAGGUGUCUUGAGAUUAUCAUCCGCUGAGGGUGGAAGGCAGGGUAGAGCUGAGGGUGGAAGGGGAGUGAGCAGACACUCGGGAGGUGUCUUGAGUUUAUCAUCCGCUGAGGGUGGAAGGGGAGUGAGGAGACACUCAGGAGGUGUCUUGAGAUUAUCAUCCGCUGAGGGUGGAAGGGGAGUGAGCACACACUCGGGAGGUGUCUUGAGAUUAUCAUCCGCUGAGGGUGGAAGGGGAGUGAGCACACACUCGGGAGGUGUCUUGAGAUUAUCAUCCGCUGAGGGUGGAAGGGGAGUGAGCAGACACUCGGGAGGUGUCUUGAGGCUCAGGGAGUUAUCAGUUAUAGAAUGUUGUUGAGUUGGAGGAGGUGGC
RNAcentral lists this long non-coding RNA (563 nucleotides) under Homo sapiens (human). Its description in RNAcentral is "PREDICTED lncRNA (TCONS_00094701)". The record is from RNAcentral. Lineage: Eukaryota; Metazoa; Chordata; Mammalia; Primates; Hominidae.